GACGAACCGUGCGAACGUUGUUCGGAAUCACUGGGCUUAAAGGGCGCGUAGGCGGGUUCUCCAGUCAGGGGUGAAAUCCCACGGCUCAACCGUGGAACGGCCCCUGAUACUGAGAGUCUCGAGGGAGGUAGGGGCAUGUGGAACUUCCGGUGGAGCGGUGAAAUGCGUAGAUAUCGGAAGGAACGCCGGUGGCGAAAGCGACGUGCUGGACCUCUUCUGACGCUGAGGCGCGAAAGCUAGGGGAGCAAACGGG
This 253-nucleotide ribosomal RNA is filed under the name uncultured bacterium. RNAcentral describes it as "partial 16S ribosomal RNA". It matches the Rfam family "Bacterial small subunit ribosomal RNA", at positions 524 to 776 of the family's 1533-position model. The record is from RNAcentral. RNAcentral also lists the same sequence under 1 other name.